RNAcentral lists this ribosomal RNA (404 nucleotides) under Triticum aestivum (bread wheat). Its description in RNAcentral is "partial small subunit ribosomal RNA". The record is from RNAcentral. Lineage: Eukaryota; Viridiplantae; Streptophyta; Magnoliopsida; Poales; Poaceae.
CGCUGAGGUGGGAGGAGAGGCCGCGACGACCACGCGCAGGAGCAGCAGAGGCGGCGGCGACCAUGCGCAGGAGCAGCAGAGGCGGCCGCUGCGGGAUCGGGGAAGGGGGGAGAAAAUUUGGGGCGUGAGCGCGGCGGCGGCUGCGGCAACCCUUGCCGAUGGAGUUAAUUGCAUAGAAGUACCACAAUUCGGGCAUCACAUGCAGAUUGGUACCAUGAUUGCUAAUUUUUACGUGUCAGUACCAACAUUGGUCUAAGUUUUUGCAAAUUAGGCUAAAACGCGUAUUUAUACGUAUUGACGGUGUAUCUGACCGAUGGGGCCCGCCCGUCAGGUGCCGACGUGGCAUGUUUUUUGCAGAAAACCCCCUUAUGUUAUAUGUAAUCACAAAAAUACCCAAAUUUUUU